This 413-nucleotide ribosomal RNA is filed under the name uncultured bacterium. Its description in RNAcentral is "bacterial SSU rRNA". It matches the Rfam family "Bacterial small subunit ribosomal RNA", at positions 505 to 916 of the family's 1533-position model. The record is from RNAcentral.
GUGUCAGCAGCCGCGGUAAAACGUAGGUCCCGAGCGUUGUUCGGAUUCACUGGGUGUAAAGGGCGCGUAGGUGGUUGUCUGUGUCUCAUGUGAAAACUCAGGGCUCAACUCUGAGAUUACGUGGGAAACUAGGCAGCUAGAGGACGGUAGAGGGGAGUGGAAUUCCCGGUGUAGCGGUAAAAUGCGUAGAUACCGGGAGGAACACCGGUGGCGAAGGCGACCUUCUGGCCUGUUACUGACGCUGAGGAGCGAAAGCCAGGGGAGCAAACCGGAUUAGAUACCCGGGUAGUCCUAGCCGUAAACGAUGGGUGCUAGGUGUUGGGGGGUAAAGACCCUUCAGUGCCGAAGCCAACGCGAUAAGCAUCCCACCUGGGGAGUACGGCCGCAAGGUUGAAACUCAAAUAAAUUGGCGG